Pan troglodytes (chimpanzee) is the source of this 596-nucleotide long non-coding RNA. RefSeq lists it as uncharacterized. The record is from RefSeq and is a predicted model, not a curated record. The transcript has 5 exons. Lineage: Eukaryota; Metazoa; Chordata; Mammalia; Primates; Hominidae.
AAAAUUUAAACACACCAGUGACCACAGUGCAACUGCAACUGACGAUCAGUUUCCACCAAACUGCAACAGAGAGAGUGGCUUUGCCGUCUGGGCCAGCUGAGGACUCUCCUUGGACCCCAAAGAAGCAGUUUGUUUCCACCUACUCCCAAGAGCUGAAGAUUAUAAGCCAGAAGCAAACAAAGGCAGGCAAGGAAAUUUGAGGUUGUUGCAUCUGGAAGUAAACAUGUAGCUACUUCUUCUAAUAAAACAGAGCUCUUAGGUGCUCUGACCCUGGAGGAGAGGGAUUUCACUGAGAUGAGAAGGAUGCGUGAUGGGAUCCAUGGGCACUGGAGGCUUAUAUUUCCCUCUCAUGCCAUGCUCAAGUGAUGGGAGGGCAGAGGCAUGAGAGGGUGCUAAGGGACUAAACGCCAUGGCCACAGGAGUCAAGAAGUGCACAGAGGGCAUGGAUGCGUUGGAAAGGGGAGGUGCUGGCCUUUUAAAGAUCAUAUGGCUUGGACAAGGAACAUGCUGCUUUAAAUAAUUUCUAUUAAUAGCCUUUUCUGAACAAUCACAGAGAAAGUCUUCUGAAUAAUCAUACUGAGAACUUAAACUUCCAC